This is a long non-coding RNA of Sphaeramia orbicularis (orbiculate cardinalfish), 404 nucleotides long. RefSeq lists it as uncharacterized. The record is from RefSeq and is a predicted model, not a curated record. NCBI's taxonomy places the organism in Eukaryota, Metazoa, Chordata, Actinopteri, Kurtiformes, Apogonidae. The transcript is spliced from 4 exons.
CUGAUAUGUCAACAACACAUUAAGAUAUUUUUAUCUGUAUAAGUGUAAAGUUUGCUAAGUUAGCAUCAAUGUAGUCGCCACUUUUAUCAUAUUAUCAUGUCUGCUGUUUGUAAAACGAACCUGCCUGUCAUAGGUGCAUUUCAAAGAAUCAGCCAGGUUGCUGUGGUUACACAAAGAAGGUCUGGGCUCGCAGCUUUGCACAGUUCCUCCUGUAUUUAAAAGGAUCGCCGGAUGUCCGGGACAUCGGCUGUACGGGAAGCGAGCCGGCCUGAGCUACGAGAGGGAGGACUUGCCUGCAGAGAUGUGUCUCCCCUGAUGUACUUGGCACCUUCAAUAACAGCAAGGUAGGAAAAGCGAAGCUGAUCUGCUGUCUGAAUCAAGCCCAUACGGUAGCGUCUCAUCUC